AUUGAACGCUGGCGGCAUGCCUUACACAUGCAAGUCGAACGGCAGCACGGGAGCAAUCCUGGUGGCGAGUGGCGAACGGGUGAGUAAUAUAUCGGAACGUGCCCAGUCGUGGGGAUAACGUAGCGAAAGCUACGCUAAUACCGCAUACGAUCUAUGGAUGAAAGCGGGGGAUCGCAAGACCUCGCGCGAUUGGAGCGGCCGAUAUCAGAUUAGGUAGUUGGUGAGGUAAAGGCUCACCAAGCCGACGAUCUGUAGCUGGUCUGAGAGACGACCAGCCACACUGGGACUGAGACACGGCCAGACUCCUACGGGAGGCAGCAGUGGGGAAUUUUGGACAAUGGGCGCAAGCCUGAUCCAGCAAUGCCG
RNAcentral lists this ribosomal RNA (366 nucleotides) under uncultured bacterium. Its description in RNAcentral is "bacterial SSU rRNA". It matches the Rfam family "Bacterial small subunit ribosomal RNA", at positions 30 to 399 of the family's 1533-position model. The record is from RNAcentral.